RNAcentral lists this long non-coding RNA (5641 nucleotides) under Panax ginseng (ginseng). Its description in RNAcentral is "long non-coding RNA (PGIN_LNC009224)". The record is from RNAcentral. Lineage: Eukaryota; Viridiplantae; Streptophyta; Magnoliopsida; Apiales; Araliaceae.
GCCAGUCUUCCAACUUCCCCUUUCCAAAUUCUCUUCCAUUCCUAUGCAACGGACCAACCGAGGAACGGAGGAAGCCAAUUCACAUCAGCACCGCCUCCAACCGCUGUAAUUCCACUCUACGGCCAGCGUCAAGGCCAUACAGUCGUCCCCUGUCCACCACCAAAAAGGGUUUUGUUGACUUCCUUUUUGGGACACUGGAAAGUAUUACAUGAAAAUUCAUUCCUUAAUGUAGUCGGCAAUUGAUUAUCAAUACUAUUUGCUUCAGCUUCAGGUACCCUCAUUCUCUAUCUUCUAGUCUCUUCUAAUUUAACCAUUAUUUUUGUUAAAAUAGUUUCACAAAAUGAAGUUAAGUUCUGUUUAAUAUUAGUGGAGUGCUUUGUUUUUUAGCGAGCAGAUUGAAUUAUGUUGAAGUUUCAGUAUUUUUUCAUUUAUUGGUGUUAACAAUUGGUGAUGAAUAUUUAGUUGUCAACAUUUGAGGUUUUAUUAAACAGUAUAAACAAGUAAAUUUGCAGCUGCAAGGGGUCAAAUCCUACUCUGGAAAAUGGUUUUUGUGGGUGUAGGCAAGGAAAUGCUCAAUUAUGGUUUCGAAUUGGCGGAGAGAAAUCUAUGGAGUACAGGUCGCAGUCGAAAGUUCGAAGAGGGAGAAGAACAGGUAGGUGAUCACCAAGGCAACAUGUGACAGAACUCUAGAGAUAGUCUUCUUGUGUGUCUUCGAGAGUGAAGAAUCAAAAGGCUCCUCUCUUGGAAGGAGAGGGCUAUUUAUAGGAGAGGGCUAUUUAUAGGAGAGGCAUUCUCUGGUAAUUAAUCAUGCGCCCUGGCACAUGAUUAGGCCAUGUGGCUGGUAUUUGACUUCAAGUUAACUACUGGAAAUGCCGUUGUUGCCUUAAGUGAUGCCUAGGUCCUUCCGUCUUUCUAGCUACUAAUCCAAAUCUAUCAAUCAUUUUCCAAUAGAAGCUGCCUCCGUAAGCUUUCUGCCAAGGAACAUACGGAGGCCUCUUCGGUCUUUAUAUCAAUGAUUUGCUCCUUUGAUCAAAUCACGCUUCCACUUUCGUACCUCUUCAAAACACCGCAACUUAGAGGUUUCAUUGGCGAAGGACCCCAAGGGAGGCCUUGGCGAACCCUAGGGGUGUCGAUAGGGUUGUAAAUGUAGUCCAAAAUAUUUGAUAUUUGCUUCGAAAAUUCGUAUUUGUAUUUGCGUCAAAGCGGAUCCGUAGUCAUGUCAAAGCGAAUAUUAUCUGUAUUCGUAUUUGUCCAAAGCGGAUACAGAUACAUAUAUAUGCAUAUUUGUAUUCAUUAAUAUCCGUAUGCGUAAUAUAUAUAUAUAUAUAUAUAUAUAUAUAUAUAUUUAUAUAUAUGGCUGAAUAUAUGUAUAUAUACAUACAUACAUAUACAUAUAUAAACUCUCAUUUAAUAUUAGUAUACAAUAUAUGAAAGUAGUAACAACAAUUGAUUAUACAUCUUUUAUGAACAUUUUAUGAUAUACGAUAUAAAAAAGAUACGUAUGGAUAUUGUAUCUAGUUUUAUAGUUUAGUUGGUUGAUUAUAUAUUGUUGGGUCGUGAUUAUUUGGGCCCGGAUGAUUUGGUGGGCCAAAGUCCACGUGGAGGAAGUCUACCCUGCGUAGGAAUUUUGUUUGAAAGUAGAAGUAUUUUAAGGAAUCCAUAAUUCCUAAUUACAUUUGAUUUCCAGCUCCUAAGAAAAGUGUCAUGAUAUUAUCCGAUUUCCUUUCUUUAAGGAGAUUGAGUUCAUUCCCAUUAAGGUAUCUACCUAAUGAGGAAUCCUAUUUCCAUACGGGGAAGGACAUGCAAAGGAGGUGUGAUCACUAUAAAUUUAAGGCUACACCAUAAUUAUCAGGUACACAUAAUUUAUUUACAACACUAGAGCAUUAAACCUCUAUUGUUAAACCUUAUUCAACCUGUACUUAUUCUCACAUUGGAGUUAUCCCCCGACGACACAAGUUGUCUAGCUUCGCAUGUAACUUAGUUUCUGUCCAGGAUUGGAUAUGCAUGUUAGAAACUACUCCCUCUGUCCUGUAAAUAUUCCAAUAUACCUUUUUGCACAAAUUUUAAUUUUUUUUUAAAUUCUUAUUUGAUUUCUUAAUUGACCCUUGUGAAAUUUAUGGUUGAAAAUACUCCAAGAAUAUAAAUCACAAAAGUUUUAGUUAGCGGAGGGAUCCACUAUAUAUUCAACUGAUAAAAGUGGCAUGACAAUAGGUAACUUAGUCAUUUAACUUCACAAAAGUUAGCAAAAAAUAAAGUGUUACAAUUUUGUCGGACUACUUAAAAGUGUUCUAAAAAUUUCCGUCUAGGCGGAUCAUCUACCGUCUAGAUUUUGCUAUGUGCCUAGUCCCCACCUAGGCAGAAUCAAACAUUUACUAUUGCAUCAUUUUGAUAUAGGCUUUGAAGCUUUACAAUACUUGAAAUGAAUUUGUUAAGCCUUAAAAGAUGGUAUUUUUUAGUAUUUUUAUGUAAAAUUUUAAGAAGUUACAUUUACUAUAUGCUUUUAUAGUACAACAAGUAUAUACAUAGUAUAUACAAAAGUUUGGAUUAUUACAUUUGUUUCCCAAGCUCGUAACUCGUUCAUUAUAGCUCAGAAUUGGUUCGUUCAAAAGCUAACUUCUUUAUUAUAGCUCGGAAUUGGUUUACAGCUAUAUCUCAUAUGGGUUAUGAUUGUGAAAUAAUAUGCCCCACAUUAUUAUUAUAUUUAAACCUUAUAUCUUUAUAUAUAUGCAUAUAUUUUGGUGUAUUUAAAUGUAAUAUUUUGAAAUCUAUCACACACAAAAAAAUUAUAUUUAAUAUUGUUGAUUGUAAACUAUGAAUAUAAUUGUGAGUUAUUUUUCUAUGUUUAAUGUAUUUUUUGAUGUACAAAAUAUUCAUAUAAUUCAUAUAAUUAUAUAUGUAUAAAUUGUGUAUUGUAAACUUAUCACCUUGCGGACGACUAAGCGGCAUAGUUGUCACGGCGCCAUGAUGAGUCAUGGCGGUAACUAACUGCCUGGACGCUAUGGCGGUCGCCUUGACGACGAGGCGACCACCAUAGCGUUCGUAUGGCGACAAGUCGUUUACAAUGUGCAAUUUAUAUAUUAUUUAUUUUACUUAACAAGUAUAUUGGUAAUAAAAUUUUAUAUACAUUAAAACUCAAAACAUAACACUAUGGAAUAACAUUAAAUGCAUAAUUAUGUAUAUACUUAGCAAUAACAAUCCAAAAACAAAAAACUUGAUAUUAAAAAUUAGUAAAAGAAAUGAAGAAUUCAACAAACACCACAUAAAAAAUAAAGUUGCAACCAACCAUCACAAAUAUGUCGUCUAAUAAUUAAUAAAACACCACAUAACAAGCCAAAAUAAUGUCUAGACUCAAAUGUACUCCAAUUGAGCUCACAACCGAAAAAAAACAACAGAGGCCUAUAAUUCUUUUUGCAAACGAGGAUAACUCAAUAGCCCGCCCUCCAAAAGCCUUCCACCAAUCAACUAGCAAACAUUUAAAAGAAAUAUAAAUAUUUUUAAAGGGAGGAAAGGAAGAAUGUAUAUAAAUUAUAAUUAAAAUUUAGUUUUUAUAUCUUUAUAUAUAUAUAUAUUAAUAUAUUUACGAGGAUUCUUUAUUUUCCGUUGCCUAAUCACUAUUUCUCUUGCAAAAGUAUCUCGAGAGGCAUCAUAGUUGUCAGCUAGUUUGCUUAUCUUGUCUAACAAAUCUAGCUCGUGCACCAUCUUUGCAAGAAUGUCAUUGAAGUCAUCUCGUAAAGUAGUAGCAAACAACCGACGUUCCUCUUUGAUAUCAAAGUACUUACCCGGAUUGAGAAACAACGCAGCCUCAUAUAAUUUUUGCUCCAUUUGACUUUCCCACUGCUCAACAAUUUCAAUCCCCUUCUUAUACAGUCUUUGUUUGUUAUCAAAUGCAUCUUUGUUUUUUUCUUCGCGCAUUCCAUCGCAGCAAUAACUUCUGCAUAGCAGGCUUCUCAUCACUAUCAACAAUCCUCAAGACUAUAAGAAGUGACUGUGACGCCCUAAUGCAAUCAUCAACAUGAUGCCAAAAUGUUGUUGAAAUAACAGUAUCACAUACUUUCUUCCCAGCUUCAGGAGCCGACAACUUUGAUUUUGACCAAUCCUCGCUUAUGAACAAAUGUCUCAAUGCAUCUUUAUGCUUGUACAAACUCUGUAAGGUGAGGAAAGCUGUAGCAAAUCUAGUAAACUACGGGUCUCACAAGAUCCCAACCAUUUGUUUUGUCCCUCAUCGCAUUAAGAAGACGACCAUGCAUAUAAAUGAAUGUUGUGAUUCUUCUUGUAUUUGUGAUUGUGGGUUGGAAUUGCUUUUAACUUGCCUAUGUCCUCUAAGAUAAGGUCAAGGCAGUGAGCGGCACAAGGUGUCCAAAACAAUGUAGGCCUCCUCUUCAUUAGUAUAUGCCCCGCUGCCUUGUAAUUAGAGGCAUUGUCCGUGACCACUUGAACAACAUAUUCAGGGCCAAUUUCCUCAAUCUUGCUAUCAAGUAGAUUUGCCAACAUUGUGGCAUCUUGCGACUGACCGGAGGCAUCAACAGAACCCAUGAAAUAAGUCCCCUCCGGACUAUUAACAAGGAAAUUCAACAAGUGUCUUCACCUUUUAUCUGUCCAACCAACCGACAUGAGUGUGCAGCCAUAUACCUUCCAAGCAACUUCAUGUUUCUUCUUUAAGUCAUCAGUUUUUGUCUUUGCCUUCUCAAGUAAAGGAACCCUCAACUCAUGAUACGUUGGAGGCUUUAAACCCGGCCCAUAUUGCCCUAUGGACUCGAUCAUUGCUUCAAAUCUCCUUGAAUUUGAAGUAUUGAAUGGUAUGCCACAUUCGUAGAAAAAGUCGGUAAUGUGCAUAUGGACUCUCUCCUUUUCCUCCGGUGUCCUCAAACGAUUUUUAUACUCGUUUGGUUCAAACGCUUGCUAUGCUUCUCCUCUACAACUUCUUCGGGAGUCUUCUUUAGAAGUGCUUCAACCGUCUUUGUUGGAGCUUUUCAUUGUGGCUUUUGGAAUUGAAAUACAACUUUCUUCCUUUUAAAAGCCAUCCUAGAACUUGGGAUAGUGUUAGAAGAAGUAUUGGAAGCCAUGGUUGGACGAACAGAUGAUUGUUCUUUUUGCACUUCUACUACAUCAUCAUCUAGCUCAGGUGGCUUGUUCCUCUUUCUACUAUUCAAAGCCGCUUGCAUCUCCCUCAUAAUUUCUGUUGUUGUUUUGGGGCACUUCUCUACGUCUCCAAAAUUUCCUGCUAAAUGUUGUUUCAACCUUUUGAUUCCCGAAUGACAUUGCUUCCAACAAAGGAUACAUUGCACUAUAUCCUUAUUACUCAUGUCCGACCAAUACCCAUAUUCCAACCCGGGUGGUUUGAUUUGGCCUUUCUUUUCAGGUCCUUGGUUAUAUCAUAACCACCGGCCCCUGAACUUUCCGUCAUUUUACUUUCUACACAAUACAAUCAAAUAAAAAUAUAUUAAUCAAUAUGAAUAUUGAUAUUUACCUAAGUACAAUGAUAUAAUUUUGAUUUUUAAAGUUUCUUUAAAAGUUGCACGCAUUUAUAUAAACAUAGUCAAUAUGUAUGUGUUCAUUAUCUAAUAUAUAUAAAUUUUCUAUGUAUCAGUAGUUCAGUACAUAUAUUGUAUAUAUAUAUAUAUAUAUAUAUAUAUAUAUAUAU